This is a non-coding RNA of Pelobates cultripes (western spadefoot toad), 249 nucleotides long. NCBI's taxonomy places the organism in Eukaryota, Metazoa, Chordata, Amphibia, Anura, Pelobatidae. The record is from the annotation of a GenBank genome assembly.
GUUUGAACAUCUGUAUGGACUCUGAUAAAACCACUUCUUCAGGCACAGAAUUCCACAUCCUUAUUGUUCUUACAGUAAAAAAACCUUUCCUUUGCCUUAGACGAAAUCUUCUUUCUUCCAGUCUAGGCAUCAUUAAACAUUAAGUUGCUUUAGUGCCUAUCAUAUCCGUUAAGACUUUUAAGGACACACUUCUGGAUACUAGUCAUUUAUUUAAGUUUUCCUCCUGCUCUGCAGAUGCUGGGAGAAUAG